This 253-nucleotide ribosomal RNA is filed under the name uncultured bacterium. Its description in RNAcentral is "partial 16S ribosomal RNA". It matches the Rfam family "Bacterial small subunit ribosomal RNA", at positions 524 to 776 of the family's 1533-position model. The record is from RNAcentral.
UACGGAGGGGGCUAGCGUUGUUCGGAAUUACUGGGCGUAAAGAGCUCGUAGGUGGUUUGUCGCGUUGUCCGUGAAAACUCACAACUCAAUUGUGGGCGUGCGGGCGAUACGGGCAGACUGGAGUACUGCAGGGGAGACUGGAAUUCCUGGUGUAGCGGUGGAAUGCGCAGAUAUCAGGAGGAACACCGGUGGCGAAGGCGGGUCUCUGGGCCGAUACUGACGCUGAGGAGCGAAAGCGUGGUGAGCGAACAGG